UGUUUAUCCCGAUUAGGUCUAUUGUUUAUCCCGGUUAGGUCUGGUGUUUAUCCCGGUUAGGUCUGGUGUUUAUCCCGGUUAGGUCUGGUGUUUAUCCCGGUUAGGUCUGGUGUUUAUCCCGGUUAGGUCUGGUGAUUAUCCCGGUUAGGUCUGGUGUUUAUCCCGGUUAGGUCUGGUGUCUAUUCUGGCUCACUCUGGUGUUUAUCCUGGUUCAGUCUGGUGUUUAUCCUGGUUCAGUCUGGUGUUUAGCCUGGUUCAGUCUGGUGUUUAUCCCGGUUAGGUCUGGUGUUUAUCCCGGUUAGGUCUGGUGUUUAUCCCAGUUAGGUCUGGUGUUUAUCCUGGUUAGGUCUGGUGUUUAUCCCGGUUAGGUCUGGUGUUUAUCCCGGUUAGGUCUGGUGUUUAUCCCGGUUAGGUCUGGUGAUUACCCUGGUUAGGUCUGGUGAUUUUCCUGGUUAGGUCUGGUGUUUAUCCUGGUUAGGUCUGGUGUUUAUCCCGGUUAGGUCUGGUGUUUAUCCCGGUUAGGUCUGGUGUUUAUCCUGGUUAGGUCUGGUGAUUACCCUGGUUAGGUCUGGUGUUUAUCCUGGUUAGGUCUGGUGUUUAUCCUGGUUAGGUCUGGUGAUUAUCCUGGUUAGGUGUGGUGUUUAUCCUGGUUCAGUCUGGUGUUUAUCCUGGUUAGGUGUGGUGUUUAUCCUGGUUCAGUCUGGUGUUUAUCCUGGUUAGGUGUGGUGUUUAUCCUGGUUCAGUCUGGUGUUUAUCCUGGUUAGGUCUGGUGUCUAUCCUGGUUAGGUCUGGUGUUUAUCCCGAUUAGGUCUAUUGUUUAUCCUGGUUAGGUCUGAUGUUUAUCCUGGAUAGGUUUGGUGAUUAUCCUGGUUAGAUCUGUUGUUUAUCCCGGUUAGGUCUGGUGUUUAUCCUGGUUAGGUCUGGUGUUUAUCCCGAUUAGGUCUAUUGUUUAUCCCGGUUAGGUCUGGUGUUUAUCCCGGUUAGGUCUGGUGUUUAUCCCGGUUAGGUCUGGUGUUUAUCCCGGUUAGGUCUGGUGUUUAUCCCGGUUAGGUCUGGUGAUUAUCCCGGUUAGGUCUGGUGUUUAUCCCGGUUAGGUCUGGUGUCUAUUCUGGCUCACUCUGGUGUUUAUCCUGGUUCAGUCUGGUGUUUAUCCUGGUUCAGUCUGGUGUUUAUCCUGGUUCAGUCUGGUGUUUAGCCUGGUUCAGUCUGGUGUUUAUCCCGGUUAGGUCUGGUGUUUAUCCCGGUUAGGUCUGGUGUUUAUCCCAGUUAGGUCUGGUGUUUAUCCUGGUUAGGUCUGGUGUUUAUCCCGGUUAGGUCUGGUGUUUAUCCUGGUUAGGUCUGGUGUUUAUCCCGGUUAGGUCUGGUGUUUAUCCCGGUUAGGUCUGGUGUUUAUCCCGGUUAGGUCUGGUGAUUACCCUGGUUAGGUCUGGUGAUUAUCCUGGUUAGGUCUGGUGAUUAUCCUGGUUAGGUCUGGUGAUUACCCUGGUUAGGUCUGGUGAUUAUCCCGGUUAGGUCUGGUGAUUUUCCUGGUUAGGUCUGGUGUUUAUCCUGGUUAGGUCUGGUGUUUAUCCCGGUUAGGUCUGGUGUUUAUCCCGGUUAGGUCUGGUGUUUAUCCUGGUUAGGUCUGGUGAUUAUCCUGGUUAGGUCUGGUGAUUAUCCUGGUUAGGUCUGGUGAUUACCCUGGUUAGGUCUGGUGAUUAUCCUGGUUAGGUCUGGUGAUUAUCCUGGUUAGGUCUGGUGAUUAUCCCGGUUAGGUCUGGUGAUUAUCCUGGUUAGGUCUGAUGUUUAUCCUGGUUAGGUCUGGUGUCUAUCCUGGUUAGGUCUGGUGUUUAUCCCGAUUAGGUCUAUUGUUUAUCCUGGUUAGGUCUGAUGUUUAUCCUGGAUAGGUCUGGUGAUUAUCCCGGUUAGGUCUGGUGAUUAUCCUGGUUAGGUCUGAUGUUUAUCCUGGUUAGGUCUGGUGUUUAUCCUGGUUAGGUCUGGUGAUUAUCCUGGUUAGGUGUGGUGUUUAUCCUGGUUCAGUCUGGUGUUUAUCCUGGUUAGGUGUGGUGUUUAUCCUGGUUCAGUCUGGUGUUUAUCCUGGUUAGGUGUGGUGUUUAUCCUGGUUCAGUCUGGUGUUUAUCCUGGUUAGGUCUGGUGUCUAUCCUGGUUAGGUCUGGUGUUUAUCCCGAUUAGGUCUAUUGUUUAUCCUGGUUAGGUCUGAUGUUUAUCCUGGAUAGGUCUGGUGAUUAUCCCGGUUAGGUCUGGUGUUUAUCCUGGUUAGGUUUGGUGAUUAUCCUGGUUAGAUCUGUUGUUUAUCCCGGUUAGGUCUGGUGUUUAUCCUGGUUAGGUCUGGUGUUUAUCCCGGUUAGGUCUGGUGUUUAUCCCGGUUAGGUCUGGUGUUUAUCCUGGUUAGGUCUGGUGUUUAUCCCGGUUAGGUCUGGUGUUUAUCCCGGUUAGGUCUGGUGUUUAUCCCGGUUAGGUCUGGUGAUUACCCUGGUUAGGUCUGGUGUUUAUCCUGGUUAGGUCUGGUGAUUAUCCUGGUUAGGUCUGGUGAUUAUCCUGGUUAGGUCUGGUGAUUAUCCUGGUUAGGUCUGGUGAUUACCCUGGUUAGGUCUGGUGAUUAUCCCGGUUAGGUCUGGUGAUUUUCCUGGUUAGGUCUGGUGUUUAUCCUGGUUAGGUCUGGUGUUUAUCCCGGUUAGGUCUGGUGUUUAUCCCGGUUAGGUCUGGUGUUUAUCCCGGUUAGGUCUGGUGAUUACCCUGGUUAGGUCUGGUGUUUAUCCUGGUUAGGUCUGGUGAUUAUCCUGGUUAGGUCUGGUGAUUAUCCUGGUUAGGUCUGGUGAUUACCCUGGUUAGGUCUGGUGAUUAUCCUGGUUAGGUCUGGUGAUUAUCCUGGUUAGGUCUGAUGUUUAUCCUGGUUAGGUCUGGUGUCUAUCCUGGUUAGGUCUGGUGUUUAUCCCGAUUAGGUCUAUUGUUUAUCCUGGUUAGGUCUGAUGUUUAUCCUGGAUAGGUCUGGUGAUUAUCCCGGUUAGGUCUGGUGAUUAUCCU
Acanthochromis polyacanthus (spiny chromis) is the source of this 3024-nucleotide long non-coding RNA. RefSeq lists it as uncharacterized. NCBI's taxonomy places the organism in Eukaryota, Metazoa, Chordata, Actinopteri, Pomacentridae. The record is from RefSeq and is a predicted model, not a curated record. The transcript is spliced from 9 exons.